RNAcentral lists this ribosomal RNA (490 nucleotides) under uncultured bacterium. Its description in RNAcentral is "partial 16S ribosomal RNA". It matches the Rfam family "Bacterial small subunit ribosomal RNA", at positions 30 to 507 of the family's 1533-position model. The record is from RNAcentral.
AUUGAACGCUGGCGGCAUGCCUUACACAUGCAAGUCGAACGGCAGCAUGAUCUAGCUUGCUAGAUUGAUGGCGAGUGGCGAACGGGUGAGUAAUACAUCGGAACGUGCCCUGUAGUGGGGGAUAACUAGUCGAAAGAUUAGCUAAUACCGCAUACGACCUGAGGGUGAAAGUGGGGGACCGCAAGGCCUCAUGCUAUAGGAGCGGCCGAUGUCUGAUUAGCUAGUUGGUGAGGUAAAGGCUCACCAAGGCGACGAUCAGUAGCUGGUCUGAGAGGACGAUCAGCGACACUGGGACGGAGACACGGCCCAGACUCCUACGGGAGGCAGCAGUGGGGAAUUUUGGACAAUGGGCGAAAGCCUGAUCCAGCAAUGCCGCGUGUGUGAAGAAGGCCUUCGGGUUGUAAAGCACUUUUGUCCGGAAAGAAAUGGCUCUGGUUAAUACCUGGGGUCGAUGACGGUACCGGAAGAAUAAGGACCGGCUAACUACGUG